Molecule: long non-coding RNA, 490 nt
Organism: Oncorhynchus tshawytscha (Chinook salmon)
Lineage: Eukaryota; Metazoa; Chordata; Actinopteri; Salmoniformes; Salmonidae
Source: Ensembl
UGUCCACAUUGUUGUCUUUGUAAUCAAUUUGGUUCCUCAGUCAGGGCCUUUUUUGAGAGACCGACAGCACACAGCACCUGACACACCGCCCUGGGCCCUGGGUGAUAGAGCCAGACGCAGAGAUCCUCUCCUUAAUGCCUCACACCUGGUGCAGAUCUGGAGAGGCUUCCACCACAGGCAGAAUUCACAGAGAGUGAUAGAGGGCUUCAGGCUAUCCCUACUCGCGGCUAGCAAAGUUGUUCUCCCCGUCGGGACUACAAGAACACAAUUGUGUAUGUGUGUGAGAGAGAGGUAGAAGAUGAAACAGCCGUCGAGGAGGUGUUGAUCACACAGCCAGACAGGUCUUUGCCGUUUAAGUGUGUUCUCAGACUCCUAAUGCCUCACAGAUGUCUGGUCUGUGUCAUGUUUCUCUGUGAAGGUUUGUUAAGGGGCUUCAAAACUCAAGAUCAGGAGCUUCGGCUCAACGCUCUGCAGGCUGACUGACUGCUGG